GGAUCGAUCGAUUAAUUCAUAUGACUGAUGUUGGGUUUGACGAGUUCACCUUAACCCUAAUUCAGUCGGAACUCAUGAUAGAGGAACUCAAUCACACAGAUAGCUGCACUGAGAGGUUCAUCUUCAGUUCUGAUGGGUUGCCACCAUAUACUACUAGGUGUCACUGAUGGAUUUUGAGAGCAAUUAGAAUGAUAUUGAUGAUCGAUCAUUCUAAUUGUCUGAAUCAGAAGA
This 231-nucleotide long non-coding RNA is filed under the name Elaeis guineensis (African oil palm). RNAcentral describes it as "long non-coding RNA (EGUI_LNC080558)". The record is from RNAcentral. Lineage: Eukaryota; Viridiplantae; Streptophyta; Magnoliopsida; Arecales; Arecaceae.